Non-coding RNA from Mycena latifolia, 92 nucleotides. The record is from the annotation of a GenBank genome assembly. NCBI's taxonomy places the organism in Eukaryota, Fungi, Basidiomycota, Agaricomycetes, Agaricales, Mycenaceae.
GCGGACGUAGUGCACGGUGCACCACUGCCUUCGAUUUGAAUGGCUUCUGGCAGUUGAAGCAGUCCAACGGGGUUCGACUCCCCGCGUCCGCA